RNAcentral lists this ribosomal RNA (253 nucleotides) under uncultured bacterium. RNAcentral's name for it is "partial 16S ribosomal RNA". It matches the Rfam family "Bacterial small subunit ribosomal RNA", at positions 524 to 776 of the family's 1533-position model. The record is from RNAcentral.
UACGAAGGGGGCUAGCGUUGCUCGGAAUCACUGGGCGUAAAGGGUGCGUAGGCGGGUCUUUACGUCAGGGGUGAAAUCCUGGAGCUCAACUCCAGAACUGCCUUUGAUACUGAAGAUCUUGAGUUCGGGAGAGGUGAGUGGAACUGCGAGUGUAGAGGUGAAAUUCGUAGAUAUUCGCAAGAACACCAGUGGCGAAGGCGGCUCACGGGCCCGAUACUGACGCUGAGGCACGAAAGCGUGGGGAGCAAACAGG